UUCCUUGAAAAAAUUUUUCUCUGAGCUGUUAGUGUACUUACAUUUGGCUUAAGAAAUUUUCUAUUUUCUACCUCAUUCUUUACUUAUUCUUAACCUCCGCAUUUCUGCAAUUUCUUGGGAGAGAGAGCCGUGUUUGUUUUAUUUUGGUUACAAUGCUUUGCACAUAAUGGCUAGGCACUUUAAGAUGAUGAAAUAGUUGAUAAAGUUUCUGCAACUAUGGCGUUAUUAGUAGAGAAAGCAAUCAGCAGUGCUUCUAGCCCUCAAGGCCCUAGGGAUGCACUGAGAAGAGUUUUUGAGUCCAUUUCUUCAGGGAUUAUUUUUAAAAGUAGUCCUGGGCUUCUGGAUCUUUGUGAAAAGGAUCCCUUUGAUACCUUGGCAACAAUGACUGACCAGCAGCGUGAAGACAUCACAUCCAGUGCACAGUUUGCAUUCAGACUCCUUGCAUUCCGCCAGAUAUACAAAGUUAUAGACAUGGAUCCAUUAUCAAAAAUGAGCCAACAUUUUAACAUCCACAACAACAGGAAACGAAAAAGGGAUAGUGAUGGAGUUGAUGGAUUUGAAGCCGAGGGAAAAAAAAAAGAGAAAAGAUUGUGAUAACUUUUAAAAGAUGCCUGUAAAUCUUCAGUGUUAAAAAAACAAAAGAUGCCCAUUUGUUGGCUGUUUGUCAUUCAUAAUAAUGUCUACAUUGAAAAAUUUAUCAAGAAUUUAAAGGAUUUCAUGGAAGAACCAAGUUUUUCUAUGAUAUUA
Macaca mulatta (Rhesus monkey) is the source of this 747-nucleotide non-coding RNA. NCBI's taxonomy places the organism in Eukaryota, Metazoa, Chordata, Mammalia, Primates, Cercopithecidae. The record is from RefSeq and is a predicted model, not a curated record.